CGAGUAAAGCGGCGAAAGGGUGAGUAACACGUAAUCAACGUACCCCCCAGACCGGGAUAACCUCUAGAAAUGGUGGAUAAUACCGGAUGGACUUAUGACUAGGCAUCUAGUCAAUAGUAAACGGUGGCUUAGGCUGCUGCUGGGGGAGCGGGUUGCGGCCUAUCAGCUUGUUGGUGCGGUAAUGGCGCACCAAGGCAUUGACGGGUAGCGGGUCUGAGAGGAUGAUCCGUCACACUGGGACUGAGACACUGCCCAGACUCUUACGGGAGGCUGCAGUCGAGAAUCUUCCACAAUGGGCGAAAGCCUGAUGGAGCGACGCUGCGUGUAGGAUGAAGGCCCUAGGGUUGUAAACUACUGUCACGCCAUAGGAACCCGUAGUCGUUAAUAGCGGCUGCGCUGACCAAAGCGAAAGGAAGUGCCGGCUAACUCCGUGCCAGCAGCCGCGGUAAUACGGAGGGCGCAAGCGUUGUUCGGAAUCACUGGGCAUAAAGAGCAUGUAGGCGGUCUAUUAAGUCGGAUGUGAAAGCCCUCGGCCCAACCGGGGAAUUGCAUUCGAUACUGAUAGACUUGAGGACAGGAGGGGUGAGUGGAACUUCAGGUGGAACGGUGAAAUGUGUAGAUAUCUGAAGGAACACCGGUGGCGAAAGCGGCUCACUGGCCUGUCUCUGACGCUGAGAUGCGAAAGCUAGGGUAGCGAACGGGAUUAGAUACCCCGGUAGUCCUAGCCGUAAACGAUGGGUACUAGGUAGUGGGUUUUCCCUAUGGGGCUCAUUGCCGUAGCUAAUGUAUUAAGUACCCCGCCUGGGGAGUACGCUCGCAAGGGUAAAACUCAAAGGAAUUGACGGGGGAUCACACAAGCGGUGGAGCAUGUGGUUUAAUUCGAAGCAACGCGAAGAACCUUACCUGGCCUUGACAUACAUGGAUUAGCUCUGUGAAAGCAGAGUGACAGCUCUUCGGAGUUGGAACAUGAACAGGUGUUGCAUGGCUGUCGUCAGCUCGUGUCGUGAGAUGUUGGGUUAAGUCC
RNAcentral lists this ribosomal RNA (1024 nucleotides) under uncultured bacterium. Its description in RNAcentral is "bacterial SSU rRNA". It matches the Rfam family "Bacterial small subunit ribosomal RNA", at positions 87 to 1087 of the family's 1533-position model. The record is from RNAcentral.